GACGAACGCUGGCGGCGUGCUUAACACAUGCAAGUCGAACGGAAAGGCCCUGCUUUUGUGGGGUGCUCGAGUGGCGAACGGGUGAGUAACACGUGAGUAACCUGCCCUUGACUUUGGGAUAACUUCAGGAAACUGGGGCUAAUACCGGAUAGGAGCUCCUGCUGCAUGGUGGGGGUUGGAAAGUUUCGGCGGUUGGGGAUGGACUCGCGGCUUAUCAGCUUGUUGGUGGGGUAGUGGCUUACCAAGGCUUUGACGGGUAGCCGGCCUGAGAGGGUGACCGGCCAUGGGGUGAGCGGGCAACGGCGCAGAGCGAGAGGGGGGGCACAGGGGGGGAAAGGUGCAGAAGGGGCGGGAGCCUGGGGCGGCGGGGGCGGAUGGGUCACGGCGGCCUGCGGGCUGUGAACCGCGUGCGCGGGUGAGGAAGCGGGAGUGACGGUAAUGGGAAAAGAAGCACAGGCUAACGACGCGCCAGAAGCCGAGGUAUAAUCGGAAGAGCACACGGCUGACC
RNAcentral lists this ribosomal RNA (508 nucleotides) under uncultured bacterium. RNAcentral's name for it is "partial 16S ribosomal RNA". It matches the Rfam family "Bacterial small subunit ribosomal RNA", at positions 34 to 540 of the family's 1533-position model. The record is from RNAcentral.